RNAcentral lists this ribosomal RNA (250 nucleotides) under uncultured prokaryote. RNAcentral's name for it is "partial 16S ribosomal RNA". It matches the Rfam family "Bacterial small subunit ribosomal RNA", at positions 524 to 773 of the family's 1533-position model. The record is from RNAcentral.
UACGGAAGGUCCGGGCGUUAUCCGGAUUUAUUGGGUUUAAAGGGAGCGCAGGCCGAUGGUUAAGCGUGACGUGAAAUGUAGCCGCUCAACGGCUGAACUGCGUCGCGAACUGGCUAUCUUGAGUGAGUUCGAUGUUGGCGGAAUUUGUGGUGUAGCGGUGAAAUGCUUAGAUAUCACGAAGAACUCCGAUUGCGAAGGCAGCCAACAAGGCCUUUACUGACGCUAAAGCUCGAAAGUGUGGGGAGCAAAC